Molecule: ribosomal RNA, 473 nt
Filed under: uncultured Anaerolineaceae bacterium
Lineage: Bacteria; Bacillati; Chloroflexota; Anaerolineae; Anaerolineales; Anaerolineaceae
Description: bacterial SSU rRNA
Rfam family: Bacterial small subunit ribosomal RNA
Source: RNAcentral
UGGCUCAGGAUGAACGCUGGCGGCGUGCCUAACACAUGCAAGUCGAACGGUCGCAAGACAGUGGCGCACGGGUGAGGAACACGUAGCUAACCUGCCCUCAAGAUCGGGAUAACGGAUCGAAAGGUCUGCUAAUACCGGAUAAGCUCACGCGAAGUAAAGGCGAGUGAGAAAAGGAGGAAUCCGCUUGAGGAGGGGGCUGCGGCCUAUCAGGUAGUUGGUGAGGUAAUGGCUCACCAAGCCGACGACGGGUAGGGGGCCUGAGAGGGUGACCCCCCACACUGGGACUGAGACACGGCCCAGACUCCUACGGGAGGCAGCAGUGAGGGAUAUUGCACAAUGGGCGCAAGCCUGAUGCAGCGACGCCGCGUGAGUGACGAAGGCCUUCGGGUCGUAAAACUCUUUUGCCGAUGACGAGGAAGGACGGUAGUCGGCGAAUAAGCCUCGGCUAACUACGUGCCAGCCGCCGCCGUAAU